UGCCAGGUGACUCUCACUUUUUGGGUUGA
RNAcentral lists this non-coding RNA (29 nucleotides) under Mus musculus (house mouse). Lineage: Eukaryota; Metazoa; Chordata; Mammalia; Rodentia; Muridae. The record is from RNAcentral.